AUGGACGGCUGUUGGACGUCCCACUGAGUACAGCGUUUUAUAAGCUUCUUUUUGGUCAAGAGCUCGAUUUGCAUGAUAUUGUAUUAUUUGACGCUGAACUUGGUAAGACCUUGCAAGAGCUGCGUGUUCUUGUUGCCCGCAAGCACUAUCUGGAGGCAGUAGGUGGUGGCAAUGGCAGCACAGUUUCUGAUUUAUGUUUACGUGGAUCCCGCAUAGAAGAUCUCUGCUUGGACUUCACACUACCUGGCUAUCCUGAGUACAUUCUGAGACCAGGAGAUGAAAUUGUUGAUAUUACCAAUCUUGAGGAGUAUAUUUCCCUUGUCGUUGAUGCUACUGUCAAGAGAGGAGUUGCUCGGCAGAUCGACGCGUUCAGAUCUGGAUUCAAUCAGGUGUUUGACAUAACAUCUCUACAAAUAUUCACCCCUUCUGAGCUGGACUACUUGUUGUGUGGUCGUAGAGAGUUGUGGGAGGCGGAGACUCUUACUGAA
Non-coding RNA from Camelina sativa (false flax), 488 nucleotides. NCBI's taxonomy places the organism in Eukaryota, Viridiplantae, Streptophyta, Magnoliopsida, Brassicales, Brassicaceae. The record is from RefSeq and is a predicted model, not a curated record.